UAAAGUCUAACCUGCCCACUGAAAAUUUUUAAAUGGCCGCAGUAUUUUAACUGUGCAAAGGUAGCAUAAUCAUUAGUCUUUUAAUUGAAGGCUGGAAUGAAUGGUUGGACGAGAUAUUAACUGUUUCAUUUAAAUUUUUUAUAGAAUUUUAUUUUUUAGUCAAAAAGCUAAAAUUUAUUUAAAAGACGAGAAGACCCUAUAAAUCUUUAUAUUUUAUUUAUUUUAAUUAUAAAGAUUAUUUUUAUUAUAAUAAAUUAAAAUAUUUUAUUGGGGUGAUAUUAAAAUUUAAAAAACUUUUAAUGAUUAAAAUCAUUAAUGUAUGAAUAUUUGAUCCAUUAAUAAUGAUAAAAAAUUUAAGUUACUUUAGGGAUAACAGCGUAAUUUUUUUGGAGAGUUCAUAUCGAUAAAAAAGAUUGCGACCUCGAUGUUGGAUUAAGAUAUAAUUUUGGGUGUAGCCGUUCAAAUUUUAAGUCUGUUC
RNAcentral lists this ribosomal RNA (478 nucleotides) under Drosophila borealis. Its description in RNAcentral is "partial 16S ribosomal RNA". It matches the Rfam family "Bacterial large subunit ribosomal RNA", at positions 1846 to 2582 of the family's 2925-position model. Lineage: Eukaryota; Metazoa; Arthropoda; Insecta; Diptera; Drosophilidae. RNAcentral also lists the same sequence under 1 other name. The record is from RNAcentral.